UAUCAACAAACACAGCACAAACGAAAAACAGAAUGUGAAAAACAAGUUAGAACCAGAGAAGAAAAACAUCAAAAUGGACUCAGAAUAACAUUUUGAUAAAUCGUGGUGAGAGUGUUCUACAAGUGGCUGACGAAACGGGCCUUCCACGGUCGACAGUUUACGGAAUCGAGAAGCAAGAAAUAGCAUUGCGGUAUUGCAAGGCGUUGGUCAACUAAACUAUCCCCUGAUUUCGAGAUAAUAAUAGGAAAUAUAAAGGUAGAGAAACCAGAUGCCGAAAUCGACACAACUAUCGUUAAGGAAGAAUAUGAUGUGAAACUUAACAAUACGAAUGCAAUCACUCAGCCCAUGGCGCCGAAGAAAUUAACCAAGAACAUUCAUAAACUUAUCAAAAAAGCAUCAAAACACAAAUCUUAUUUACGAUAUGGAUUAAAGGAUGUUCAAGUGCGUCCGCGGAAUAAUGAAACAGGGAAAGCAAUGUGUAUAUUGUGUGUUGAAAUGGAGGUUGCAAUUUAUAAAAAAGAUUGUCAUUUUCGCUGCAGAAAAGUGGAAAUCAUGUGUCACUUGCCAUCUGUUUGUGAGAAACGCAAUAUCCCAUAUUGCUAUACGCCGAGU
This is a long non-coding RNA of Toxorhynchites rutilus septentrionalis, 612 nucleotides long. RefSeq lists it as uncharacterized. The transcript is spliced from 3 exons. Lineage: Eukaryota; Metazoa; Arthropoda; Insecta; Diptera; Culicidae. The record is from RefSeq and is a predicted model, not a curated record.